RNAcentral lists this ribosomal RNA (253 nucleotides) under uncultured bacterium. RNAcentral's name for it is "partial 16S ribosomal RNA". It matches the Rfam family "Bacterial small subunit ribosomal RNA", at positions 524 to 776 of the family's 1533-position model. The record is from RNAcentral.
UACGGAGGGUGCAAGCGUUACUCGGAAUCACUGGGCGUAAAGCGCGCGCAGGCGGCCUUUUAAGUUGGAUGUGAAAGCCUACGGCUUAACCGUAGAACUGCAUCCAAAACUACUAGGCUAGAGUGUGGGAGAGGAAGAUGGAAUUAGUUGUGUAGGGGUAAAAUCCGUAGAGAUAACUAGGAAUACCAAAAGCGAAGGCAAUCUUCUGGAACACUACUGACGCUGAGGCGCGAAAGCGUGGGGAGCAAACAGG